UCCUCUGUUCAAGGCUCACGUUACGUUUCCAGGGGCUGUUGGGGCCGAAGGCGACGCGCCUGAGUUACAGGAGUGAGGCUGGGAGCAGGAGGAGGGAACUAGUGUCUAUCCCCCCGCGAUGUGAAGGUCGGCAGAGGCCUACUAAGCACUGGAAGCCAGCACAAGGGAAGUCCUGUUUUUCAUAUGGAGUCAACUUGAGGAUGUGAAGAUAACUUGGAGCCCGGGCACCAGGAAGGGAAUCACAGGGGAUCAUCCUCACUCCGGGGACAAAAACAAUGAAUUUUGGGAAAUAUAAGUAGAAAGACAUUUUUGUGAUCCAUUCAUCGAGGGAAGCCCUUGAAGAGCGGUGUUGUUCAUGAAUAUUUGGAUCCUAGUUGACAGAAAACCAACCAGCUUUGCAAGAGAUUGGAUCUUUUGUAGUACUUUAUUUAAAGGAAAGGUCACUAUCGAUAAGUUUUUUGCAUCUUAUGUUUUUGUUUUGUAUGUAACCUAUCGUUCCUAUUAUUCUUACUCACUAUCUCUUAAAUCUUAAUAUUUUAUAAUAAACAUAUGAUUGCUUCA
Malaclemys terrapin pileata is the source of this 561-nucleotide long non-coding RNA. RefSeq lists it as uncharacterized. The record is from RefSeq and is a predicted model, not a curated record. The transcript has 2 exons. NCBI's taxonomy places the organism in Eukaryota, Metazoa, Chordata, Testudines, Emydidae.